GACGAACGCUGGCGGCGUGCCUAAUACAUGCAAGUAGAACGCUGAAGGAGGAGCUUGCUUCUCUGGAUGAGUUGCGCACGGGUGAGUAACGCGUAGGUAACCUCCCUGGUAGCGGGGGGUAACUAUUGGAAACGAUAGCUAAUACCGCAUAAAAGUAGAUGUUGCAUGACAUUUUCUUAAAAGGUGCAAUUGCAUAACUACCAGAUGGACCUGCGUUGUAUUAGCUAGUUGGUGGGGUAACGGCUCACCAAGGCGACGAUACAUAGCCGACCUGAGAGGGUGAUCGGCCACACUGGGACUGAGACACGGCCCAGACUCCUACGGGAGGCAGCAGUAGGGAAUCUUCGGCAAUGGACGGAAGUCUGACCGAGCAACGCCGCGUGAGUGAAGAAGGUUUUCGGAUCGUAAAGCUCUGUUGUAAGAGAAGAACGAGUGUGAGAGUGGAAAGUUCACACUGUGACGGUAUCUUACCAGAAAGGGACGGCUAACUACGUG
RNAcentral lists this ribosomal RNA (495 nucleotides) under uncultured bacterium. RNAcentral's name for it is "partial 16S ribosomal RNA". It matches the Rfam family "Bacterial small subunit ribosomal RNA", at positions 28 to 507 of the family's 1533-position model. The record is from RNAcentral.